CAGCAGCCGCGGGAAUACGUAGGGUGCGAGCGUUAAUCGGAAUUACUGGGCGUAAAGCGUGCGUAGGCGGUGAGUUAAGUCUGCUGUGAAAUCCCCGGGCUCAACCUGGGAAUGGCAGUGGAUACUGGCUCGCUAGAGUGUGUCAGGGGAUGGUGGAAUUCCCGGUGUAGCGGUGAAAUGCGUAGAGAUCGGGAGGAACAUCAGUGGCGAAGGCGGCCAUCUGGGACAACACUGACGCUGAGGCACGAAAGCGUGGGGAGCAAACAGGAUUAGAUACCCCAGUAGUCCCUGUCUCUUAUAC
This 301-nucleotide ribosomal RNA is filed under the name uncultured bacterium. RNAcentral's name for it is "partial 16S ribosomal RNA". It matches the Rfam family "Bacterial small subunit ribosomal RNA", at positions 509 to 807 of the family's 1533-position model. The record is from RNAcentral.